AGAGUUUGAUCAUGGCUCAGAUUGAACGCUGGCGGCAGGCCUAACACAUGCAAGUCGAACGGUAACAGGAAGCAGCUUGCUGCUUCGCUGACGAGUGGCGGACGGGUGAGUAAUGUCUGGGAAACUGCCUGAUGGAGGGGGAUAACUACUGGAAACGGUAGCUAAUACCGCAUAAUGUCGCAAGACCAAAGAGGGGGACCUUCGGGCCUCUUACCAUCGGAUGUGCCCAGAUGGGAUUAGCUUGUUGGUGGGGUAACGGCUCACCAAGGCGACGAUCCCUAGCUGGUCUGAGAGGAUGACCAGCCACACUGGAACUGAGACACGGUCCAGACUCCUACGGGAGGCAGCAGUGGGGAAUAUUGCACAAUGGGCGCAAGCCUGAUGCAGCCAUGCCGCGUGUAUGAAGAAGGCCUUCGGGUUGUAAAGUACUUUCAGCGGGAGGAAGGGAGUAAAGUUAAUACCUUUGCUCAUUGACGUUAUCCGCAGAAGAAGCACCGGCUAACUCCGUGCCAGCAGCCGCGGUAAUACGGAGGGUGCAAGCGUUAAUCGGAAUUACUGGGCGUAAAGCGCACGCAGGCGGUUUGUUAAGUCAGAUGUGAAAUCCCCGGGCUCAACCUGGGAACUGCAUCUGAUACUGGCAAGCUUGAGUCUCGUAGAGGGGGGUAGAAUUCCAGGUGUAGCGGUGAAAUGCGUAGAGAUCUGGAGGAAUACCGGUGGCGAAGGCGGCCCCCUGGACGAAGACUGACGCUCAGGUGCGAAAGCGUGGGGAGCAAACAGGAUUAGAUACCCUGGUAGUCCACGCCGUAAACGAUGUCGACUUGGAGGUUGUGCCCUUGAGGCGUGGCUUCCGGAGCUAACGCGUUAAGUCGACCGCCUGGGGAGUACGGCCGCAAGGUUAAAACUCAAAUGAAUUGACGGGGGCCCGCACAAGCGGUGGAGCAUGUGGUUUAAUUCGAUGCAACGCGAAGAACCUUACCUGGUCUUGACAUCCACGGAAGUUUUCAGAGAUGAGAAUGUGCCUUCGGGAACCGUGAGACAGGUGCUGCAUGGCUGUCGUCAGCUCGUGUUGUGAAAUGUUGGGUUAAGUCCCGCAACGAGCGCAACCCUUAUCCUUUGUUGCCAGCGGUCCGGCCGGGAACUCAAAGGAGACUGCCAGUGAUAAACUGGAGGAAGGUGGGGAUGACGUCAAGUCAUCAUGGCCCUUACGACCAGGGCUACACACGUGCUACAAUGGCGCAUACAAAGAGAAGCGACCUCGCGAGAGCAAGCGGACCUCAUAAAGUGCGUCGUAGUCCGGAUUGGAGUCUGCAACUCGACUCCAUGAAGUCGGAAUCGCUAGUAAUCGUGGAUCAGAAUGCCACGGUGAAUACGUUCCCGGGCCUUGUACACACCGCCCGUCACACCAUGGGAGUGGGUUGCAAAAGAAGUAGGUAGCUUAACCUUCGGGAGGGCGCUUACCACUUUGUGAUUCAUGACUGGGGUGAAGUCGUAACAAGGUAACCGUAGGGGAACCUGCGGUUG
This 1521-nucleotide ribosomal RNA is filed under the name Shigella dysenteriae. RNAcentral's name for it is "bacterial SSU rRNA". It matches the Rfam family "Bacterial small subunit ribosomal RNA". Lineage: Bacteria; Pseudomonadati; Pseudomonadota; Gammaproteobacteria; Enterobacterales; Enterobacteriaceae. The record is from RNAcentral.